RNA transcript from Rhineura floridana, 7175 nucleotides. It is a transcript of the gene named protection of telomeres 1, with no coding region annotated. The transcript has 3 exons. The record is from RefSeq and is a predicted model, not a curated record. Lineage: Eukaryota; Metazoa; Chordata; Lepidosauria; Squamata; Rhineuridae.
UUUUUUUUUCUUAUAAGCUGCUUGUGCUGUUUUGGAGAUGUUUCUUGCAGAGCGUAGUUUAAGUUAAACUAGAUUUUUGUCUCAGUGCAAUUUAAGGCUGUAUUUAUUUAUUUAUUAUUUGAUUUAUAUCCCACCCUUCCUCCAGCAGGAGCCCAGGGCAGCAAGCAAAAGCACUAAAAACAGUUUAAAACAUCAUAAAAACAGAUUUUAAAAUACAUUAAAACAAAACAUCUUUAAAAACAUGUUUUUUAAAAAAGCUUUCAAGACACCUUUAAAAAAAUGUGCUGUAAUGUUCAGUGCCUAUUUUUAUACUGUUUUAUAUUCCACCCUAAAACUAUUGAAGUGCCUGUCUGAAUAAAGAACAGCACAUCAGCACCUUGAAAAGUCAUUACUGCUAAAAUGGAAUGUGGACAAUAUAGGUUUGUUCAUUAUUAACCCAUGUUUAAUUAUGCCCUUGCAGAAAUGGCUCAUGUUAUACUGUACUCUGCUUUUACUCAGUGAGGAAUGUUUGCUUGAUUGUGUAGUAGGUAACCUUUACAAAAUCAACCAGACAGGCGAAGCUGACAAGCAUUUCAAGAUGCUUUAUGUACAUAUAUGAGAAAAAGAGGGAUAAUGGACGAGGAACACUUGAGGAAUGCAAUCCCAGCAAAUUCCAAUUAUGAACUGACCUGAUCUGCACCUCCUGGAUUCAUGUGUGGAUCGGAACUUAGUUAUCUGCCCGAUGAGCAUUGUAUUUUGGGAUAUAUAAGAUGGUGGCUGCCCAAUGCAGGUUGGACCUCAGCAGCCAGUUAGGUCCCCUCCAGAGAUACCACUGUGUGAGAUCAUGCAGGAGGAGUACCUGGCUGCUGAGGGGUCCAGGAAGGGGCAGCCUUGGCAAUAGCAAUGCCAGACAGAGCCUCAUGGCAGCAGUGGGUGGUAGAAAGAAAGGUGGACGUCACCCCUGCUGGAGCCACAAGCUAGGUGCUGAGAGCCAGUGCCCUGGGUGGGAAAUAGACUGAUUCCUCAAUCCCUAAUAUAGACUUGACUUCUUAAUUACUCUACCUGUAUUAAUAAGCUUAAGUGAUAACAAAGGAGAUUGAUAGUUGAAUGUUUUAUAAUAUUCUUUUCUAUCACUUUUAACCAAAUGCAGAUGAAGCCGGGGUGAUCGAUUUGUGUGCUCAUGGAAAGCCUGUCUAGUCCUUGCUUCCUUUUUUAGAAAAAAAUUAAUAUGCCCCAGUACUGAGUAACAUCAAGGCUUUAAAUUGCAAGCAGCAUGCAAAAUUAGGGCGAGGGGAAGCACGACAAAGAAUCAAAACAAAAAGGAGAACAGGCUCUGGUACUUAAUGGUGCAAGGCUUUUAUUUUGGUUCUACACAUUUUCCAUAGGAAGUGGGCCAUCACCGUGGGGAUAGUUCCACCUAUCGUGCGAAGGCAAGAAUGUUUUUGAAGUCAAGACUAGGGGCGUCAUGCCCCUCCCACUCUCCAGUUCAUUCUUGCCUUCGUACGAACAAGAUUGGAAUUUCACAUAGCAUUUAGCUAAGUCCCGUAUUUGUCCUUAAAUCUUUUCUCUUUUUCUGUGUGUGUUUAGCCUCUGAGGGUUCCCUCAGGAACCGCGGCUGCGGCUUCCUCACCCUUCCCUCAGAGCUAUUCAAUCCAUUUUAUUAACUUGAUUGGGGGCUCCCUCUGAGACCGCGGCUGCGGCUCUCUUCUUUUUGGUAGUUUCUAGCCCCCACCCCACCCCCGCUCAGUUGUCUCUCUAGCCAGGGGGCUUCCUCAAGGACCGCGGCUGCGGUUCUCCCCUUUUGAUCGCUUCUGAUCGCGUUAACCUCCCCCCCCUGAUCGGUUGCCGCGGCUGCGGCUUAUCCGAUCUCAGCGGGAGCUCGCAGCUGCGGCUCCCGCCGUUAACCCUCUGCCUCAGAUCGCCCUUGCAACGUGGCUUAAAUCCCACUGAGGGCUUUUCAGACCGCGACCGCGGCUCUCUCUGCGGUGGCGGCCGUUUUCCCCUUCCUGUUUUCUCCACGGAUUUUUUUUGGAGCCGCUACUGCGGGUUUUGGCGGCCGUUUUCCCCUACCUGUUUUCUCCAGGGAUUUUUUGGAGCCGCUACUGCGGUUUUGGGCGAGAUCGUGCUGGGCAGCCCUUCCCCCAGUUCGCCUCCGACGGCCGCCAUUGCUUCUUCCCUCUCUGUCAUUUUUUUUCCCGCUCCUUUUUUCCGGGCGCCAUUUUUUCUUUCAGAAUUCGAAUUUCCCGCCCUUUUUGUUCCCCUUAUUAUCGGAUACCUCCCCUGCAGACUAUCUAUCCGUACGUGUGUGUAUAUGUGCUGCUGACUAAUUUACACACGACUGAUUUACACACAUUACUGUGGCUGUAAUCAUAGUGGCUGAAUUGUACUAUCAAGGCUGGAGCUCCAAUCCUAGUGGGCUGGAUUGUAUUAUUAAGGCUGGAGCUUUAAUCCUAGUGGCUGGAUUACAUUAUCAAGGCUGGAGUUUUAAUCCUAGUGGCUGGAUUACAUUAUCAAGGCUGGAACUUUAAUCCUAGUGGCUGGAUUACAUUAUCAAGGCUGGAGCUUUAAUAUCAGUGGCUGAUUUGUAUUAAAUCUGAUUUACAUUAAGUAUCCUACCCCCUAUGGGGCCGUGAACAAGCCAAAAAACCCAGCCUACAGCACUAAUCUGAGUGUGCCUACUCUAAACAGCCUAUAUUAUAUUAACGCUGAUACCUCUGUGCAUUCUGCCCCCUCCGUGGCAGUGCAUUCGCCAUCUGCCAGUGUAUUCUACCCCCUCCGUGGUAGUACGCUGUGCCAGUUCGGGUCUUUACAUCCUGCCCCCUCCGUGGCAGUGUACUGCACCCAGGUUCAUAUAAGAUGGCAGAACAGCCAGGCAUGUCACCAUCAACACACAUGGUGCCAGAUCAGCCAGACAUGCCACAAUCAGCCAAGCCACAACAUACUAACACGUCUAAGACCAGACAUGCCAAAGCACUGGCUAAGACAAAACAUCUUUCCAGCCAUAGUAAACCAAAGCGCCCUCGUUAUGUUUCUGUGCCAACAACCAACACAGCACAGACACACAUAAGUGAUAUUUUCCAUUCUCCUGCUACUGCCUCUGACGAGGAAGAGUUUGUUGGCUUUCCCCCUCACGGUUCGCCUAACGAACCUACCUCUGGCUUACCGCCUCAGACAUCUGUUCCAAUAGCCCACCAGGCACAUACAUCUCACACAUCUGGUCUGCAGCUGUCUCCUGAUUUCCUCUCUCAACUCCAAGCCAUGCUGGCUUAUUUCACACGAAUGCAGUCACUACCACAGGUUCCUGCCAUACCCCCACUCAACAUGGACCAACGUGCGUCCCAUGCUGCUCAUCCUUCCUGCUCACCAGAUCCUUUCGAUGUAGCCAGAGGCAGAUGUACGGAUGAAGCCUCGUAUGCGGAGGAGUUAACUUUCACUGACCAUGUUGAAGGAGACGACUGGAGCGACUAUUCAGAUCAUGAGGAGGAUACAUCGUAUCGCUUGUUCAAUACCUCAGAUUACCAACCGCUCGCACGUAGGGUACUUCAUACCCUUGGUCUCCAGACUGCGCCUUCAACUUCGUCCGCCCCAACUCUCAAAGGGGCCAAGGUCCUCAAAUCCCCUGCACCUACUGAACACUACAUCCCGGUGCCGGACCCAAUUGCCAAAUUAGCUUCCGAAGAAUGGGCCCACCCACUCAAAGCUCGACGCUUCAAGAACACGGCUGACAGACUUUACGCCCUAGCCCCAGACUUCGCCACCAAGUUAGAUGUCCCUGGCAUAGACGAACCGAUCGCUCGCCUCGUUUCGCGAUCUAUCUUGCCCAGGGAAGGGGAAUCCCACCUAAAAGAUACUACUGAACGUCGAAUAGACUUCGCCCUCCGCAAGAACCACGAGGCCACUGCCCUAUCCAUGCGUGCCUCCGCUUCAGCCUCCAUUUUCUCCAGAGCAUCUAUGAUGUGGCUGGAUGACCUUCUAGAGGAUGAUAACCCUGAUCCUGUCGCCUUUAAAAGAGCACUAUUGAAACUACGUAAGACAGCAGCCUUUGUGGCCGACGCCACUUUGGAUGCCACCCAAUUAGGGGCACGAGCCAUGACGACUCAAAUAGUCGCUCGUCGCACCCUCUGGCUUCGUCACUGGCAAGCUGAUUCAGCGGCCAGAUUGAACCUGUCCAAGGCUCCUUACUCCGGAUCUCUUCUCUUCGGUGAGGAAGCUCUAAAGGCAGUUCUGGUUGACCCAAAAGACGCCCACAAACCGGUUCUAGCCACAGUCAAGAACAUCGACCACAGGCCCUUCAGGCGAUUUCCAUCCUUUCGUUCUAACCAGCCCUUUCGAGGAACGCGACCAGGAGGACGAGGCCGCGAUUUCAGACCCUAUGAUUCCAACGCAUUCAGGGGCUCCUGGAACCGACGCCCCCAGGGCAGAGACCUACGGCUGGCUGGUCAACUUCGACAAAAGCCAUCUCCAACCAACCCAACGCCUACUACAUCUUGGGGCAAUGUUGGACACCCUGCAGGCAAUGGCCUUCCUGUCUCCAGAUCGCAUCACUGCCAUCACAAGCAUCGCAAGGUCCCUGAUGCAACAAACAUCCGCAGACGUCAUGCUUCUCGCCAGAGCACUCGGGAUGUUUAUCUCCACAAUCCACAUUGUACCCUGGGCUCGAGCUCACACUCGGCCCCUUCAGUGGACUCUGUUGCCUUUUCAAAAAGACAUUGCCAGCUCCAACCAUCGCAAAGUUCGUUUGAGCCCCGCUCUGCGCCUCUCCUUCCUCUGGUGGACCAAGGUUCAACACCUCUCCAAGGGCACGUCGUUCAGAGAACCCCGCAGAACCGUCGUGACCACAGACGCCAGCCUCAUAGGUUGGGGAGCCCACUGCAACUCCCAAUAUGUUCAGGGGGUUUGGCCCAACGCAGAGCGAGCUCGAAGCAUCAACUGGCUGGAACUAAAGGCUGUCCACUUGGCUCUAUGUCAUUUUCAGUCUCUGUUCCCUUUGCAUCAUGUGCUCAUUCGAACAGACAACACGUGUGUAAAAUCACAUUUGAACAGACAAGGGGGCACCAGGUCUCGUCCUCUGCAGGACUUAGCCUCCCUCAUCUUUGUCUGGGCAGAACAACAUCUACAAUCCCUGAAAGCAGAGCACCUCAAAGGGAUUUUGAAUGUGACAGCAGACUGGCUCAGCAGACAACAGGUCUUCCCGGGAGAAUGGAAACUUCAUCCUGCCAUUUUCCAUCGUCUCCAGUGUCGGUUCGGCGCCCUCUCAGUCGACCUGUUUGCUUCCAGUCACAAUUGCCAGCUUCCCAGGUACUUUGCCCGAUACCUGGACUCAACAGCAGAAGCAGUGGAUGCUCUGACAACACCGUGGCCAGACGGUCUAUUGUACGCCUUUCCUCCCAUACCAUUGUUAGCCAAAACCUUGAGGAAGGCGCGAACCGAAAGGGCACAGCUGGUUCUGAUAGCACCAUUUUGGCCACGCCGUCCGUGGUUCUCAGAUCUUCUGGCAAUGUCAAUGAUGGACCCUUGGACACUUCCAGUAACGCCAGACCUCUUAUCCCAGGGUCCAGUACUGCACCAGGACCCUACUUGGCUCAAUCUAACAGCGUGGCGUUUGAACGGAGACACUUGAGGUCAGCUGGACUGUCUGACGCUGUGAUUGAUAUUAUUUUGGCCUCGAGAAGACCAUCUACCACUCGCAUUUAUCAACAUACCUGGGUGGCUUUCUCCAAGUGGUGUCAGUCCCACCACCACGAUCCAUCCCAGGCCAAUGUGCACCAGGUGCUCCAAUUUCUCCAUAGUGGCUUUAUGAUGGGACUUCGACCCAACACCCUACGUCGACAUGCGUCUACUCUGUCAUCCAUUCUCUCAGUGUCCUCUCCUGGAGAUCAUAUUUCCUCACAUCCGUUCAUCAAACGUUUUUUGAGGGGAGUCGCCCUACGCUCUCCGGCUGUUGUCCAUCGGUUCCCCUCAUGGAGUUUGCCGAAAGUUCUGCAGGCUUUGCAACGCCCUCCGUUUGAACCCAUCAGAACUGUGCCCCUACGUAUUCUGUCCUUCAAGGUCCUGUUUCUGAUUGCAAUCACAUCUGCCAGACGCGUUUCGGAGUUGGGCGCAUUGUCUUCCGCUAGACACCUCUGCGUCUUCCAUAAGGACUCUGUUGUGCUGAAGACUGACCCUUCCUUUCGUCCCAAGGUCGAUUCAGUUUUUCAUUGCAACCAGGACAUUGUUUUGCCUUCCUUUUGCCCGAAUCCUACCCAUCCUCUCGAGAAGGCUUGGCAUUCGUUGGAUGUCCGGAGGGCUCUCAAGACCUACCUGUCUAGGACCCAAGAGAUUCGACGAACGGAGUCUCUGUUUGUAUCCUUUCAUCCAGGGUCUAUGGGGCAUAAAGUAUCCAAUCCUACCUUAUCCCGUUGGUUAAGGGCAUGCAUUACCUUAGCAUAUGAGUCCCUGAAGCUGCCAGUUCCUGCUAGUAUAACAGCUCAUUCUACUAGGUCAGCUGCCACUUCGGCUGCUUUUGCUACUAAUGUUCCUGUUGCCGAUAUUUGUAGGGCCGCAGUCUGGUCUUCCCCACACUCGUUUAUAAGACAUUAUAAAAUUGAUCGUUAUGCCUCUGCUGAUGCUUCUUUUGGCAGACGAGUGUUGCAACAGGUUCUUAAUGAGGAUUAACAUGUGGGUGGUCCCUCCCUAUAUGGGUUGCUUUGGUACAUCCCACGGUGAUGGCCCACUUCCUAUGGAAAAUGUACCAUUGGUCUCACCUGAAAGGUGAUUUUCAUAGGAAGGGGCCAUCACGACCCUCCCAGUUGGAGGAUGACUAGUGAUUUUAUCAAUGGGUUACAUGUUAUUUUUUCCAUAUUAUAUUUAAAUGUAAGAGUGAAGUCAAGACCUUUAGUUCUGUUAUCUUAUGAAGUUAGGUUAGAGUCAUGUUGUUAUGCAUGUAACUAUUAUGUUAUUUUCCUGGCGGGCCUGUUGGCCUUGUUCUUGUAUUUUUAGAUAUCUCUUUUAGACUCGCUACGAAUGAACUGGAGAGUGGGAGGGGCAUGACGCCCCUAGUCUUGACUUCAAAAACAUUCUUGCCUUCGCACGAUAGGUGGAACUAUCCCCACGGUGAUGGCCCCUUCCUAUGAAAAUCACCUUUCAGGCAAGAAGUUCCAGAUAGGACCGAGCUUGAUUUAGUCAUACGAGAGGCUUCAGCUACUUGUCCAAGCCCA